This 468-nucleotide ribosomal RNA is filed under the name uncultured bacterium. RNAcentral describes it as "partial 16S ribosomal RNA". It matches the Rfam family "Bacterial small subunit ribosomal RNA", at positions 28 to 507 of the family's 1533-position model. The record is from RNAcentral.
GACGAACGCUGGCGGCGUGCUUAACACAUGCAAGUCGAACGGAAAGGCCCUGCUUUUGUGGGGUGCUCGAGUGGCGAACGGGUGAGUAAAACGUGAGUAACCUGCCCUUGACUUUGGGAUAACUUCAGGAAACUGGGGCUAAUACCGGAUAGGAGCUCCUGCUGCAUGGUGGGGGUUGGAAAGUUUCGGCGGUUGGGGAUGGAAUCGCGGCUUAUCAGCUUGUUGGUGGGGUAGUGGCUUACCAAGGCUUUGACGGGUAGCCGGCCUGAGAGGGUGACCGGCCACAUUGGGACUGAGAUACGGCCCAGACUCCUACGGGAGGCAGCAGUGGGGAAUAUUGCACAAUGGGCGGAAGCCUGAUGCAGCAACGCCGCGUGCGGGAUGACGGCCUUCGGGUUGUAAACCGCUUUCGCCUGUGACGAAGCGUGAGUGACGGUAAUGGGUAAAGAAGCACCGGCUAACUACGUG